RNAcentral lists this ribosomal RNA (2928 nucleotides) under Bacillus velezensis. RNAcentral's name for it is "23S ribosomal RNA". It matches the Rfam family "Bacterial large subunit ribosomal RNA". The record is from RNAcentral. Lineage: Bacteria; Bacillati; Bacillota; Bacilli; Caryophanales; Bacillaceae.
GGUUAAGUUAGAAAGGGCGCACGGUGGAUGCCUUGGCACUAGGAGCCGAUGAAGGACGGGACGAACACCGAUAUGCUUCGGGGAGCUGUAAGCAAGCUUUGAUCCGGAGAUUUCCGAAUGGGGAAACCCACCACUCGUAAUGGAGUGGUAUCCAUAUCUGAAUACAUAGGAUAUGAGAAGGCAGACCCGGGGAACUGAAACAUCUAAGUACCCGGAGGAAGAGAAAGCAAAUGCGAUUCCCUGAGUAGCGGCGAGCGAAACGGGACCAGCCCAAACCAAGAGGCUUGCCUCUUGGGGUUGUAGGACACUCUGUACGGAGUUACAAAGGAACGAGGUAGAUGAAGAGGUCUGGAAAGGCCCGCCAUAGGAGGUAACAGCCCUGUAGUCAAAACUUCGUUCUCUCCUGAGUGGAUCCUGAGUACGGCGGAACACGUGAAAUUCCGUCGGAAUCCGGGAGGACCAUCUCCCAAGGCUAAAUACUCCCUAGUGACCGAUAGUGAACCAGUACCGUGAGGGAAAGGUGAAAAGCACCCCGGAAGGGGAGUGAAAGAGAUCCUGAAACCGUGUGCCUACAAGUAGUCAGAGCCCGUUAACGGGUGAUGGCGUGCCUUUUGUAGAAUGAACCGGCGAGUUACGAUCCCGUGCAAGGUUAAGCAGAAGAUGCGGAGCCGCAGCGAAAGCGAGUCUGAAUAGGGCGAAUUGAGUACGUGGUCGUAGACCCGAAACCAGGUGAUCUACCCAUGUCCAGGGUGAAGUUCAGGUAACACUGAAUGGAGGCCCGAACCCACGCACGUUGAAAAGUGCGGGGAUGAGGUGUGGGUAGGGGUGAAAUGCCAAUCGAACCUGGAGAUAGCUGGUUCUCUCCGAAAUAGCUUUAGGGCUAGCCUCAAGGUAAGAGUCUCGGAGGUAGAGCACUGAUUGGACUAGGGGCCCCUACCGGGUUACCGAAUUCAGUCAAACUCCGAAUGCCGAUGACUUAUCCUUGGGAGUCAGACUGCGAGUGAUAAGAUCCGUAGUCGAAAGGGAAACAGCCCAGACCGCCAGCUAAGGUCCCAAAGUAUACGUUAAGUGGAAAAGGAUGUGGAGUUGCUUAGACAACCAGGAUGUUGGCUUAGAAGCAGCCACCAUUUAAAGAGUGCGUAAUAGCUCACUGGUCGAGUGACUCUGCGCCGAAAAUGUACCGGGGCUAAACGUAUCACCGAAGCUGCGGACUGUUCUUCGAACAGUGGUAGGAGAGCGUUCUAAGGGCUGUGAAGCAAGACCGGAAGGACUUGUGGAGCGCUUAGAAGUGAGAAUGCCGGUAUGAGUAGCGAAAGAGGGGUGAGAAUCCCCUCCACCGAAUGCCUAAGGUUUCCUGAGGAAGGCUCGUCCGCUCAGGGUUAGUCGGGACCUAAGCCGAGGCCGAAAGGCGUAGGCGAUGGAUAACAGGUUGAUAUUCCUGUACCACCUCCUCACCAUUUGAGCAAUGGGGGACGCAGGAGGAUAGGGUAAGCGCGGUAUUGGAUAUCCGCGUCCAAGCAGUUAGGCUGGGAAAUAGGCAAAUCCGUUUCCCGUGAAGGCUGAGCUGUGAUGGCGAGCGAAUUAUAGUAGCGAAGUUCCUGAUUCCACACUGCCAAGAAAAGCCUCUAGCGAGGUGAGAGGUGCCCGUACCGCAAACCGACACAGGUAGGCGAGGAGAGAAUCCUAAGGUGAUCGAGAGAACUCUCGUUAAGGAACUCGGCAAAAUGACCCCGUAACUUCGGGAGAAGGGGUGCUCUGUUAGGGUGCAAGCCCGAGAGAGCCGCAGUGAAUAGGCCCAGGCGACUGUUUAGCAAAAACACAGGUCUCUGCGAAGCCGUAAGGCGAAGUAUAGGGGCUGACGCCUGCCCGGUGCUGGAAGGUUAAGAGGAGCGCUUAGCGUAAGCGAAGGUGCGAAUUGAAGCCCCAGUAAACGGCGGCCGUAACUAUAACGGUCCUAAGGUAGCGAAAUUCCUUGUCGGGUAAGUUCCGACCCGCACGAAAGGCGCAACGAUCUGGGCACUGUCUCAACGAGAGACUCGGUGAAAUUAUAGUACCUGUGAAGAUGCAGGUUACCCGCGACAGGACGGAAAGACCCCGUGGAGCUUUACUGCAGCCUGAUAUUGAAUGUUGGUACAGCUUGUACAGGAUAGGUAGGAGCCUUGGAAACCGGAGCGCCAGCUUCGGUGGAGGCAUCGGUGGGAUACUACCCUGGCUGUAUUGACCUUCUAACCCGCCGCCCUUAUCGGGCGGGGAGACAGUGUCAGGUGGGCAGUUUGACUGGGGCGGUCGCCUCCUAAAAGGUAACGGAGGCGCCCAAAGGUUCCCUCAGAAUGGUUGGAAAUCAUUCGCAGAGUGUAAAGGCACAAGGGAGCUUGACUGCGAGACCUACAAGUCGAGCAGGGACGAAAGUCGGGCUUAGUGAUCCGGUGGUUCCGCAUGGAAGGGCCAUCGCUCAACGGAUAAAAGCUACCCCGGGAUAACAGGCUUAUCUCCCCCAAGAGUCCACAUCGACGGGGAGGUUUGGCACCUCGAUGUCGGCUCAUCGCAUCCUGGGGCUGUAGUCGGUCCCAAGGGUUGGGCUGUUCGCCCAUUAAAGCGGUACGCGAGCUGGGUUCAGAACGUCGUGAGACAGUUCGGUCCCUAUCCGUCGCGGGCGCAGGAAAUUUGAGAGGAGCUGUCCUUAGUACGAGAGGACCGGGAUGGACGCACCGCUGGUGUACCAGUUGUUCUGCCAAGGGCAUCGCUGGGUAGCUAUGUGCGGACGGGAUAAGUGCUGAAAGCAUCUAAGCAUGAAGCCCCCCUCAAGAUGAGAUUUCCCAUUCCGCAAGGAAGUAAGAUCCCUGAAAGAUGAUCAGGUUGAUAGGUCUGAGGUGGAAGUGUGGCGACACAUGGAGCUGACAGAUACUAAUCGAUCGAGGACUUAACCAA